UGUGCUGGAGCUGGAGCCACUGUGAUCGCACUGCUCAUCUAUGUGAUGGCCACAACCUAUAACUUUGCAGUGUUGAAGUUUAAGAGCUACGACCACAGUCACACCACUAAGUUUUGAGCUUUUGUUGAUCUCAGAGACAGAGAGAGAAAGUGAUAGAGAGGGAGAAGGAUGAACUGAGUGAGUGAAAGAGGUCAGGAAAUAGGCAAAGGAGAGAAAUCAAUUGAGAACUAUUAGUUCAUAGCACGGGCCUUAAUGCAUAGACAGUGUAGUGCAUAUUAACUGUAUUGUCUAAUGUUCAAAUCUUUUGUAUAUUUGUGUUUCUGUACUAAUUUGACGAGGUGUGAUCACUUAACAAAACAAGGACAAUACAUCAUACUCAUUUCUAUCUAGGUACAAAUUCAUAAUAAAGUAUAGCACCGAUGACCAAUCCAGAAUAAUGUAGCUUAUUUACAGUUUAUCAGAAAAUGACUUUAGUAGUGAGAAUGUAACUCUCUGACAGUCCAACAACACCUAAUGGACAGGAUUAAAACUAGAAAAUAGUACUAUUUUUGGUAAUGAUUGAUGUCUCUCCAUUGGAUCAUAUCCACCCUGAGGCACCCGUAGUCCAGAAUCCAGUCAGAUAGAAAAAGCAAGUCAAGUACAGUAGAUGAGAAGGGCAUAGUUAUUGCUGUUUUGAAAGAUAUUAGGAAUGUUGUGUUUAUGCUCAUAAACUUUUACUCCAUGCUACAUGUACCUGUGAAGGGUGUGACUGUACUUUUUAACUCCUUAUGAGAUGUUUUGGAGUCAUAGAAUUGACUCUAAAAAUGCCAUUGUCUUUCAGAGCCUUUGUUUUUAGAUUCAUCCGACUACUAUUUAGUUUAAUAUUAUGUUUAAUAUUGAAUUCAGACAGCAUAUAGUUUUUGCCUUUUGUAUUAUUCUCAAAGCAGUAUAGUUCCUGUUUUCAGAAAUAAUCUGAAAUAAAAAAUGAUUGUGGAGAAGU
Molecule: long non-coding RNA, 979 nt
Organism: Sinocyclocheilus rhinocerous
Lineage: Eukaryota; Metazoa; Chordata; Actinopteri; Cypriniformes; Cyprinidae
Exons: 2
Source: RefSeq, a predicted model, not a curated record